Ribosomal RNA from Reticulomyxa filosa, 557 nucleotides. It matches the Rfam family "Eukaryotic small subunit ribosomal RNA", at positions 1 to 586 of the family's 1831-position model. The record is from Rfam. NCBI's taxonomy places the organism in Eukaryota, Foraminifera, Reticulomyxidae.
AAUCUGGUUGAUCCUGCCAGAAGUCAUAUGCUUGUCUUAAAGAUUAAGCCAUGCAUGUCUAAGUAUAAAUAGUAUACAGUGAAACUGCGAAUGGCUCAUUAAAACAGUUAUAGUUUAUUUGAUAGUGCAAAUUACAUGGAUAACCGUGGUAAUUCUAGAGCUAAUACAUGCGCAAAUACCGGACGCAAGAAUGGUAGCAUUUAUUAGAUUUAACCAUCACAUGGUGAAUCAUAGUAACUUAGCUGACCGCGUGUAUACGUGGUAAAUCAUUCAAGUUUCUGCCCUAUCAGCUUUCGAUGGUAGUGUAUUGGACUACCAUGGCAGUCACGGGUAACGGAGAAUUAGGGUUCGAUUCCGGAGAGGGAGCCUGAGAAACGGCUACCACAUCUAAGGAAGGCAGCAGGCGCGUAAAUUACCCAAUCCCGAUUCGGGGAGGUAGUGACAAGAAAUAGCAACUCGUGCGGGUUUCCGUUACGGGAUUGCAAUGAGAUAAGUCCAAAUCCGUAAACGAUUAACAAUUGGAGGGCAAGUCUGGUGCCAGCAGCCGCGGUAAUUCC